This 506-nucleotide ribosomal RNA is filed under the name uncultured bacterium. Its description in RNAcentral is "partial 16S ribosomal RNA". It matches the Rfam family "Bacterial small subunit ribosomal RNA", at positions 29 to 523 of the family's 1533-position model. The record is from RNAcentral.
AGUGAACGCUGGCGGUAGGCCUAACACAUGCAAGUCGAACGGCAGCACAGAGGAGCUUGCUCCUUGGGUGGCGAGUGGCGGACGGGUGAGGAAUACAUCGGAGUCUACUCUGUCGUGGGGGAUAACGUAGGGAAACUUACGCUAAUACCGCAUACGACCUACGGGUGAAAGCAGGGGAUCUUCGGACCUUGCGCGAUUGAAUGAGCCGAUGUCGGAUUAGCUAGUUGGCGGGGUAAAGGCCCACCAAGGCGACGAUCCGUAGCUGGUCUGAGAGGAUGAACAGCCACACUGGAACUGAGACACGGUCCAGACUCAGACGGGAGGCAGCAGUGAGGAAUAUUGGACAAUGGGCGCAAGCCUGAUCCAGCCAUACCGCGUGGGUGAAGAAGGCCUUCGGGUUGUAAAGCCCUUUUGUUGGGAAAGAAAUCCAUCUGGUUAAUACCCGGGUGGGAUGACGGUACCCAAAGAAUAAGCACCGGCUAACUUCGUGCCAGCAGCCGCCGUAA